ACAGCAGUAGCCGCGGUAAUACGUAGGGUGCGAGCGUUAAUCGGAAUUACUGGGCGUAAAGCGUGCGCAGGCGGUUUUGUAAGACAGAGGUGAAAUCCCCGGGCUCAACCUGGGAACUGCCUUUGUGACUGCAAGGCUAGAGUACGGCAGAGGGGGAUGGAAUUCCGCGUGUAGCAGUGAAAUGCGUAGAUAUGCGGAGGAACACCGAUGGCGAAGGCAAUCCACUGGGCCUGUACUGACGCUCAUGCACGAAAGCGUGGGGAGCAAACAGGAUUAGAUACCCGAGUAGUCCCUGUCUCUUAUAC
This 305-nucleotide ribosomal RNA is filed under the name uncultured bacterium. RNAcentral's name for it is "partial 16S ribosomal RNA". It matches the Rfam family "Bacterial small subunit ribosomal RNA", at positions 506 to 807 of the family's 1533-position model. The record is from RNAcentral.